RNAcentral lists this ribosomal RNA (469 nucleotides) under uncultured cyanobacterium. Its description in RNAcentral is "bacterial SSU rRNA". It matches the Rfam family "Bacterial small subunit ribosomal RNA", at positions 289 to 778 of the family's 1533-position model. Lineage: Bacteria; Bacillati; Cyanobacteriota. The record is from RNAcentral.
GGUCUGAGAGGAUGACACCACACUGGGACUGAGACACGGUCCAGACUCCUACGGGAUGCAGCAGUGGGGAUUUUUCCGCAGUGGGCGAAAGCGUGACGGAUCUAGACCGCGUGGGGGAUGAGGGUUUUUGGAUCAUAUUCCUCUUUUGUCAAAAAAAAAUUUCUGACGGUACGUGACUAAUAAUCCUCGGCUAACUCCGUGCCAGCAGCCUCGGUAAUACGGAGGAGGCAAUCGUUAUCCGGAAUGAUUGGGCGUAAAGCGUCUGUAGGCUCCAUCUAAUGCUGCUGUUAAAGAUCACUUUUCAGCUGUGAGAAUGCGGAGGAAGCUGUCAAACAAGAUGCUGGUAGGGGUAAAGGUAAUUCCCGGUGUAGCGGGAGAAUGAUUAAAUAUCAAGAAGAACGCCGGUGGCGAAAGCUCUUUGCUGGUCCAGACCUUACACUGAAGGACGAAAACUAGGGGAAAGAAGGAU